Non-coding RNA from Marinovum algicola DG 898, 97 nucleotides. NCBI's taxonomy places the organism in Bacteria, Pseudomonadati, Pseudomonadota, Alphaproteobacteria, Rhodobacterales, Roseobacteraceae. The record is from Rfam.
AGAUCGAGUGACGCGCGGUGGGACGUGCGCCGAGAAUGGAUCCGUUUCACGCCGUCACUGACGAGAAUGCGCCGUUGCAGCCCCGGCACUGCGCGCG